Molecule: ribosomal RNA, 1543 nt
Filed under: Salmonella enterica subsp. enterica serovar Typhi
Lineage: Bacteria; Pseudomonadati; Pseudomonadota; Gammaproteobacteria; Enterobacterales; Enterobacteriaceae
Description: bacterial SSU rRNA
Rfam family: Bacterial small subunit ribosomal RNA
Source: RNAcentral
AAAUUGAAGAGUUUGAUCAUGGCUCAGAUUGAACGCUGGCGGCAGGCCUAACACAUGCAAGUCGAACGGUAACAGGAAGCAGCUUGGCUGCUUUGCUGACGAGUGGCGGACGGGUGAGUAAUGUCUGGGAAACUGCCUGAUGGAGGGGGAUAACUACUGGAAACGGUGGCUAAUACCGCAUAACGUCGCAAGACCAAAGAGGGGGACCUUCGGGCCUCUUGCCAUCAGAUGUGCCCAGAUGGGAUUAGCUUGUUGGUGAGGUAACGGCUCACCAAGGCGACGAUCCCUAGCUGGUCUGAGAGGAUGACCAGCCACACUGGAACUGAGACACGGUCCAGACUCCUACGGGAGGCAGCAGUGGGGAAUAUUGCACAAUGGGCGCAAGCCUGAUGCAGCCAUGCCGCGUGUAUGAAGAAGGCCUUCGGGUUGUAAAGUACUUUCAGCGGGGAGGAAGGUGUUGUGGUUAAUAACCGCAGCAAUUGACGUUACCCGCAGAAGAAGCACCGGCUAACUCCGUGCCAGCAGCCGCGGUAAUACGGAGGGUGCAAGCGUUAAUCGGAAUUACUGGGCGUAAAGCGCACGCAGGCGGUCUGUCAAGUCGGAUGUGAAAUCCCCGGGCUCAACCUGGGAACUGCAUUCGAAACUGGCAGGCUUGAGUCUUGUAGAGGGGGGUAGAAUUCCAGGUGUAGCGGUGAAAUGCGUAGAGAUCUGGAGGAAUACCGGUGGCGAAGGCGGCCCCCUGGACAAAGACUGACGCUCAGGUGCGAAAGCGUGGGGAGCAAACAGGAUUAGAUACCCUGGUAGUCCACGCCGUAAACGAUGUCUACUUGGAGGUUGUGCCCUUGAGGCGUGGCUUCCGGAGCUAACGCGUUAAGUAGACCGCCUGGGGAGUACGGCCGCAAGGUUAAAACUCAAAUGAAUUGACGGGGGCCCGCACAAGCGGUGGAGCAUGUGGUUUAAUUCGAUGCAACGCGAAGAACCUUACCUGGUCUUGACAUCCACAGAACUUUCCAGAGAUGGAUUGGUGUCUUCGGGAACUGUGAGACAGGUGCUGCAUGGCUGUCGUCAGCUCGUGUUGUGAAAUGUUGGGUUAAGUCCCGCAACGAGCGCAACCCUUAUCCUUUGUUGCCAGCGGUCCGGCCGGGAACUCAAAGGAGACUGCCAGUGAUAAACUGGAGGAAGGUGGGGAUGACGUCAAGUCAUCAUGGCCCUUACGACCAGGGCUACACACGUGCUACAAUGGCGCAUACAAAGAGAAGCGACCUCGCGAGAGCAAGCGGACCUCAUAAAGUGCGUCGUAGUCCGGAUUGGAGUCUGCAACUCGACUCCAUGAAGUCGGAAUCGCUAGUAAUCGUGGAUCAGAAUGCCACGGUGAAUACGUUCCCGGGCCUUGUACACACCGCCCGUCACACCAUGGGAGUGGGUUGCAAAAGAAGUAGGUAGCUUAACCUUCGGGAGGGCGCUUACCACUUUGUGAUUCAUGACUGGGGUGAAGUCGUAACAAGGUAACCGUAGGGGAACCUGCGGUUGGAUCACCUCCUUA